CCCCACAACGGCUUCCUGACGUGGUGGUAUUACAAUAUUGGAGCG
This 45-nucleotide non-coding RNA is filed under the name Paramylibacter kogurei. Its description in RNAcentral is "Amylibacter kogurei SAM-SAH-Weickhmann-2018 RNA". It matches the Rfam family "SAM/SAH riboswitch aptamer". The record is from RNAcentral. Lineage: Bacteria; Pseudomonadati; Pseudomonadota; Alphaproteobacteria; Rhodobacterales; Paracoccaceae.